UACGGGGGGAGCAAGCGUUGUUCGGAUUUACUGGGCGUAAAGGGCGCGUAGGCGGCGUGACAAGUCACUUGUGAAAUCUCCGGGCUUAACUCGGAACGGUCAAGUGAUACUGUCGUGCUAGAGUACAGAAGGGGCAACUGGAAUUCUCGGUGUAGCGGUGAAAUGCGUAGAUAUCGAGAGGAACACCUGCGGCGAAGGCGGGUUGCUGGGCUGAUACUGACGCUGAGGCACGAAAGCUAGGGGAGCAAACAGG
Molecule: ribosomal RNA, 253 nt
Filed under: uncultured bacterium
Lineage: Bacteria
Description: partial 16S ribosomal RNA
Rfam family: Bacterial small subunit ribosomal RNA
Source: RNAcentral